CAUGUCCUUUUGAUUAUAAUUUAAGGUCUGAUCUGCUCAAUGAUUAAUUAAAUUGCCGCAGUAUUUUGACUGUGCGAAGGUAGCAUAAUAAUUAGCUUCUUAAUUAGAAGCUUGAAUGAAUGAUUGGACGAGAAAAUUACUGUCUCUUUAGAAUUGUUUAUUGAAUUUUAUUUUUAAGUUAAAAAGCUUAAAUUUUUAUAAAAGACGAGAAGACCCUAUAGAGUUUAAUAUUCAAUUUUUACUAAAAUUUAGUAAUCAUUUUUAGAAUUGGGUAUUUAGUUGGGGUGACUUAAAGAUUAAUUAAAUUCUUUAAAUAUUUUAUUGUUGAUAAAUAAUUUUUAAAUCUAGUUUUUUAAAUUUAAAAUUAAUUACCUUAGGGAUAACAGCGUAAUUUUUCUUUAAAGUUCUUAUUGAAAGAAGAUUUUGCGACCUCGAUGUUGGAUUAAAAUUAAUUUUUGGUGCAGUAACUUAAAAAUUAGGUCUGUUCGACCUUUAAAAUU
This 500-nucleotide ribosomal RNA is filed under the name Calochromus sp. UPOL 000L16. RNAcentral's name for it is "partial large subunit ribosomal RNA". It matches the Rfam family "Bacterial large subunit ribosomal RNA", at positions 1816 to 2595 of the family's 2925-position model. The record is from RNAcentral. Lineage: Eukaryota; Metazoa; Arthropoda; Insecta; Coleoptera; Lycidae.